UAUAAGUGCAACCAUAAGUUUCCACGUCUAAUUUAGAUCGUUCGUCUUAUUUGAAAAAUUUUUAUAAUUAGUAUUUUUGUUGUUAUGAGAUGAUAAAACAUGAAUAGUAUUUUACUCGUGACUUAUGUUUUUUAAUUUUUUAAAAAAUUUUUCAAAUAAGACGGACGGUUAAAGUUGGGCGCGAAAAAUCAUAAGUGCACUUGUA
MicroRNA precursor from Oryza sativa Indica Group (long-grained rice), 205 nucleotides. It matches the Rfam family "MIR812 microRNA precursor family". The record is from Rfam. Lineage: Eukaryota; Viridiplantae; Streptophyta; Magnoliopsida; Poales; Poaceae.